AACAUCAAGACCUUCUACAAACUGCAAGAUCCAUAUGUAGCUACAGUGAUCAGAACCAGAGAUACUCAGAAAGGAAGAUUCUCCAUCUCUGAUAACAGAAGAUCUAGAGUUAUCAGUGUGAGAAUCAGUGAUGUGAGAGAAGAUGAUGGAGGAGUUUAUUACUGUGGAGGAUGGAUUGAAGCUGUUAAAGUCAGUUAUCUUCCCCUCUACACAGAGAUUCAUCUGCAGGUUUCUGCGAAACCAGCAACACCAGCAUUGACAUCUAAGCCACCAGCACCAUUUACAACUCAACCAUCACCAACAACUACCUCACCAGCAACUACCCCACCAGCACCAAUAGGCAACCCAGCACAAACAGAGCCAACUACACCAACAGUGACCACUUCUGCUCCAGGUUCCUUAAUCAACAACAACAUCAUUAU
Long non-coding RNA from Astyanax mexicanus (Mexican tetra), 422 nucleotides. RefSeq lists it as uncharacterized. The record is from RefSeq and is a predicted model, not a curated record. NCBI's taxonomy places the organism in Eukaryota, Metazoa, Chordata, Actinopteri, Characiformes, Acestrorhamphidae. The transcript is spliced from 3 exons.